This is an unclassified non-coding RNA of Vigna unguiculata (cowpea), 4695 nucleotides long. The record is from RefSeq and is a predicted model, not a curated record. Lineage: Eukaryota; Viridiplantae; Streptophyta; Magnoliopsida; Fabales; Fabaceae.
CUAUCUCCACUCCGCUUCAUGGAUAGGUCCAGCCCAAGCUACAAAUUAAUGGAUUGUUGGCCUCGUCCAACAACUUCCUUAUUAUGUAAAACAAAAUACAUAAUAUAGUAAACUAGAGUAAUUAUUAAAAGAUGAUAAUAUUAUAAGGCUAUAAAAAAAAUAUUGAAAAAUAGUAUAUAAUAUUAUGAUCUAAUGAUAACAAUAUUACAGUAAAAAAUAUUAAGAUUUAUUUAUGACAUCAUAUAAUAUUGAAUUACUAUGUUAUGUAUUUUAAUAUACGUUUUAUUUGAAAUAAACUAUUAUGAAAUUAAAAUUCAAGUUUACCAAUGUUGAUAAGUAAUGUUUUUCAUAUAUUAUUUUUCAUGUGUGGGAACCUAACUUUAGAGUUAAGGUUUUAGGCCUCUUCUGGUUCAUCUCAUUUAUUCAAGUACCAAAGUACACUACAAGAAUUUAUAAUUUUAAUUGGGGUUUCAAGAACCUCCACUAAAAUAUAUACAUAAUUGGGGUUUUAUAAACACUUACGUAUAAGAGGUUUUCCCUGCCAACUUAUUUUCUUUAUCUUGUAAUUUUUAAAAUUUUAAUUUGAGUAUUUUAGGAAGUGACUUUUUCUCUUUCUCUAUGGCUUAAGAAACUUGUUUGCUUUGGAAGAAGGAAGAAUGUACUCGUUGUUAGGAAAAGAAAGAGGUUCGUGCUCUUCACUUAAGGUAAACCGUGACUUUCAAUUUCAUUUUUGUUUUUCUGAGUUCCAUCUCUUUUGAUUUCAAUUUUAACUUCAUCUCUUUGCUUUUAUCGUUCGUGUCAUAAGAGGUUGUGGCUUGGGUCUUACGAGGAAGACGUUCUCUCUUUCGAGUCCAUUGUUCUCCCUGAAAUUAGUUAAUAAACACCUUUCUCUCUGCUUUCAAUUUCGUCGUUCUUUCGAUCUCCAUUCUUUUAUUUUCGUCUCAAUUCAAUUAUGUCUUUUGAUUUCAGUGUGUCUCUCACUAUUCUCACCACGAAUAGGUUCGUUUAUUUAUCUCUUGAUUUUGCCCUAAGUUCCCUUGUUUUGUCCCGUGAUUGUCAAUUUCCAUUGCAAAGAUACUGAUACAAUCAAUCAGGCCAGGGAUAGAAGUUUUAGGCCAAGUUCCAAGAACAAAAGCAUUUUGUGAUGUUAGUCUAUAUACUAUGGCCACAAGCACUCUGAGCAUUUUGGUGAUUCGCAUCAGUCCCGGUUCACUAUGCUUUGCAAAUGCUAAUUUUAUAAGAGAAAGGCAAUCACCUAAUUUAAAACUUUAUUUGGAGAGUUAUAUGAAUUUAAUUACCAAACUGAAAUAAAAAUUAUUUAAUUCUUUCCAGAAUACUGAAGUGGGUCAAUGAAGAAGAAUACAAAUUUUGAUGUUUGAUGUUAGCAUAUGUGGUAUUGCUCUAGAUGGUUUAUUAAGGUGCAAAAGUUUUCAUUUGCGCUUUAUAUGCCGCUAAGCGUUUUAAAAGCUAGAAGUGGUCCCAAUUCUUAAUGUAUUUUCGAUAAAGGAAUGCUUUGUUAUGUUAUCUGAUUUUAUGGACUAAUGAAUCUAUUAUAAUUUUGGUGGUGCAUUUAUAUUUUUGUUUCUAAUGUUAUUUGCAGGGGGAACUUGGAGCCACUACUAUAUUAGUUGUGUCCAUUGCUGCUUGUAAAGUUGGUGCUACUAAAAAGAAGAAAAUCAUGGUUCUCCCAAUUGGAGCAAGCAAAUUUGAGGAAGGACUGAGAAGGUACUAGGACCUUUCAUCACUUAAAGGUGGUUUUGCUUGAUUUCUUCUUUUAUUUUUAUUCUUCUUAUUGCUUUUACAUUUCAUCUUUAGGGAUCUUUUUCUUUUAACUUGACAAAGAAUUUUUAGGAUGGUUAUAUCUGGUGAGUAAUGGAAAUAAUGUACAGUGUUAAGUAGGUCACCUAAGCAUAAAUCUUCACAUUCCUUAUUUUCUCUAUUGGACCUCCUUCAAUAAUUAUUUACUAUAUAUACUAAGUGUACUUUUCAAUGGCAAACAAGCAAUGAUCUGAUGCAUGUGAAUCUAUCCAUACUGAAAACGGUUUUCAUUCCCUUUAAAUUUCUUUCAACUAUUGAAAAUAAAAUUGAAGGGCACAUGUUAGUAAAAGAUGUAUUUGUGGAAUUUAAUUAUGUGCAAAAUUAUAAUUCAUUCCAUGAUAUUCUAUUGUUUUAAACCAUGGUCAUGCCCUUUUUAGAGUUUACAUUUCUCUAUUAUGAUAUACAAAUAAAUGUUGACCGUGAUUGCUAAGAAAAUUGAAUAAACAUUAAUUUCAGAUAAGUUAUAGUUUCUAAAAGUUUUAGUUUAUUCAUAGUGAAAAUCUAUUUUAUAUGUAAAAUUAGAUCGUGAUAUUUAAAAAGAAAAUUAUAUUUAUACUUACUACCUUUAAAAGUUUGAGAUGGUUAUAUAAUGUGAGGUUCUGAUUAAGACCUAUGUUUCAUUCUGAAACAUUCUGUUUGUAGAGAAAUUGACAAACAUUCAUUUGAAUGGUUACAAUUGUCUUCCAUUUUUUAUAAAGAAGAUCAGUGAUUUUGUGAAAAGGAUUUAUUUCUUUAAAAUAAAGUAAAUUGUAACGAAUAAAAUUGCAAAAUUACAAUCACUGAAUUAAAAACUUGUUGAUUUUGGUCAGAAAACCUUUAGCAUUACUGUAAUCUAUUGUAAUUCCUAUCUUGUAUACUGCUUUGGUCUUUAAGUCAAUUUGAGUCAAAUUUUUUUCUUUGUUUUGUUCCAGUUUUACUGUUUCAGUUUGAAUUGCUUUUUCAUCAGUUUACUAUUUUUCUUUUUUUUUCGUUUCGAUCAUGUUAAUAGUAUAUAGUAGUGGUUUAAUUCCCUGUUUUGAAUUUUGAAUGGACUAAUCAGUUUUCCUACCUCUACGCUAACCCUUUUUUGCUGAAUUUUUCAAUUUCACUAACUGUUUAAUCUGUUUUGAGCUUUGUUACAUGUUUCCUUAGUUGUUUUGAGUUGUGAAAAAGUGUUUUGAAAGUCUUUAAGUAGUUCUAACAAUUUUUAGCUAUUAGAGUUUUUGUUUUGGUAAGUUGGUUUAACAGUUUUUAAACCCAUGUUCUAAGAUAAAUUUAAACCUCACUAACACCAGAAUCUUUUCUUCAUGGCCUCCUAUUCCUCCCAUCUUCUCCCAUUUAACCUCAUAGUUCCAUGUACAUUAGUAAAUUCAAGAGUUUUGGUACAAUUAUUACGACACUCUACCUUUUUUUCCUAUGCAACCAAACUCAUUAAACUAUAAGUCAAAAAAUAAUUAUAUCAACUCUUAGGUUUCUAUACUAGUUGUAAACUAAAAUGCACGUGUUAUGUGACUAAUCACCUCUUUAUUUUGACUUACUUUCACAUGAUGCCAUGGGUAAUGUAGAGAUUAGCAUGACAUAUAUAUGUAGAUCCUGAUCAAUUAUGGUUUUUUUUUUUUUUACUUUCGUGUUUUCUUAUUAUGCAGAAAUUGUGGUUUGACAAUGGAUUAGGGCAACAUCAUCCAAUUUAAGCAUACUCUUGGUAGAUGUAGUAGUAAUUUAAGCAGUGGCAGUAAAAAACAGUGGAGGACUGUGCAUGCAUGUGUGUCACAUACCAAUAUUGCAACAUCGUCCUAUUUGCAUUAAUAAAAUAAAAAUUUGUAUGUACUCUUCAAAAUUUUAUGACGAAAAUAAUGGAUUUCAAGAUCAUCUUAGUUUCCAUAUAUGUAUAUCUUAAUUUCUUGGAUACAGUGAAGUGCAGUUUCUAUUCAUUUAUAUGUUCAUUUAUACUUAAGUUGAGAAGUUGAGAGUCAGGUGAGUUUGGUGGUUGUUUCUAUUCUAUUAGUGUAUUGAUUUUGUGUAGUUUCAUGUGUAAUUUCAUCUAUAAAUAAGCAAUUGAACAAAGUCCACAAAAUUCAUAGGAUAAGGUUCUUUUCGUACUCAAAGAAUUAACUCAACAAAUCAAUUAUAAAGAAAGUACAAUUUUACCAUUAUAACAAUGCCAUAAUAAUAUAAGUCUAACUUUGGAUAUUAAUGGGGUUUUUAAAAACCCCAGACAUUAAUGGGGUUUUCGAACCCCAUGCAUUGACGGGUUUCGAAUCCCAAGCAUUAACGGGGGUUUUCGAAACCCUAUGCAUUAACCGAGGUUUUCAAAACCCCAUGCAUUAACGAGGGUUUAACGAGGGUUUUCGAAACCCCUAGUAAGUUACACUAUUUCCAGGGCUUGUUAAAAACCUCAGUAAUCUGUUAGCUACGCUUCUUCUUCCAGAGGAAUUGCAAACCCCUGGCAAAACCAUUAGUGGGGUUAAAACCCCAGAAACGUCAAAUAUAACCCCUACUAAAAACAAUUAUUUUUGUAGUGGUAAACUUUAAAGUUUAGUAAUCUUGAGUGAGAGUAUUAAUUAUCAAUUUAUAACUCUCUUUUAAACUACAAAUAUUUAUUUUCUGGCCUUUAGUCCUAAAAAACUAUUGUUAGAAGGUCCUAAUAAGGUGUGCACCCUAUAAACUCUACAACACAUUGCAAAUACAAGUUGUUAAGCAAGACCACAAUGUAAAAAAAAACAAACCUAUUGUUUUCAAGUCCUUAAUCUUAUGUUAUAAGUUAUUUUCUAUCAUAUAUGUAAUCUUGAGGACUAACAUUUAUUAAGCACAAUCAUAUAAAUAUUAGUCCUCAAAAUUACAAAAUAAAACACUAGAGCAAAUUAUGAGAACUAAAAGAUAUAAACAGUACUAGCUAAG